This 253-nucleotide ribosomal RNA is filed under the name uncultured bacterium. RNAcentral's name for it is "partial 16S ribosomal RNA". It matches the Rfam family "Bacterial small subunit ribosomal RNA", at positions 524 to 776 of the family's 1533-position model. The record is from RNAcentral.
UACGAAGGGGGCGAGCGUUGUUCGGAAUCACUGGGCGUAAAGGGCGCGUAGGCGGGUCUUUAAGUCAGGGGUGAAAUCCUGGAGCUCAACUCCAGAACUGCCUUUGAUACUGAAGAUCUUGAGUUCGGGAGAGGUGAGUGGAACUGCGAGUGUAGAGGUGAAAUUCGUAGAUAUUCGCAAGAACACCAGUGGCGAAGGCGGCUCACUGGCCCGAUACUGACGCUGAGGCACGAAAGCGUGGGGAGCAAACAGG